CCUACGGGAGGCUGCAGUGGGGGAUAUUGCACAAUGGAGGGAACCCUGAUGCAGCGACGCCGCGUGGGUGAAGAAGCGCCUCGGCGCGUAAAGCCCUGUCAGCAGGGAAGAAAAUGACGGUACCUGAAGAAGAAGCCCCGGCUAACUACGUGCCAGCAGCCGCGGUAAUACGUAGGGGGCAAGCGUUAUCCGGAUUUACUGGGUGGAAAGGGGGCGCAGACGGCGAGGCAAGUCAGAAGUGAAAGCCCGGGGCCCAACCCCGGGACUGCUCUUGAAACUGCGUGGCUGGAGUGCAGGAGAGGCAGGCGGAAUUCCUGGUGUAGCGGUGAAAUGCGUAGAUAGCAGGAGGAACACCGGUGGCGAAGGCGGCCUGCUGGACUGCAACUGACGUUGAGGCCCGAAAGCGUGGGGAGCAAACAGGAUUAGAUACCCGUGUAGUC
Molecule: ribosomal RNA, 440 nt
Filed under: uncultured bacterium
Lineage: Bacteria
Description: partial 16S ribosomal RNA
Rfam family: Bacterial small subunit ribosomal RNA
Source: RNAcentral